CCACGGGGGGCUGCAGUGGGGAAUAUUGGACAAUGGGGGGAACCCUGAUCCAGCCAUACCGCGUGUGUGAAGAAGGCCCUCGGGUUGUAAAGCACUUUCAGUGAGGAAGAACGCCUGGUGGUUAAUACCCAUCAGGAAAGACAUCACUCACAGAAGAAGCACCGGCUAACUCCGUGCCAGCAGCCGCGGUAAUACGGAGGGUGCGAGCGUUAAUCGGAAUUACUGGGCGUAAAGCGCGCGUAGGUGGCUUGAUAAGCCGGUUGUGAAAGCCCCGGGCUCAACCUGGGAACGGCAUCCGGAACUGUCAAGCUAGAGUGCAGGAGAGGAAGGUAGAAUUCCCGGUGUAGCGGUGAAAUGCGUAGAGAUCGGGAGGAAUACCAGUGGCGAAGGCGGCCUUCUGGACUGACACUGACACUGAGGUGCGAAAGCGUGGGUAGCAAACAGGAUUAGAUACCCGAGUAGUC
This 464-nucleotide ribosomal RNA is filed under the name Vreelandella stevensii. RNAcentral's name for it is "partial 16S ribosomal RNA". It matches the Rfam family "Bacterial small subunit ribosomal RNA", at positions 339 to 795 of the family's 1533-position model. The record is from RNAcentral. Lineage: Bacteria; Pseudomonadati; Pseudomonadota; Gammaproteobacteria; Oceanospirillales; Halomonadaceae.